UCGUAGUUGAAUUGUGGAGUAUGGCCACGGGAUUCAGUCCUUUUCCCACGGUCUAGGAACGUCCCGACCAUACUCCGAGAACGUCAGAAACUAAGAUCACGGAAGCGUUUUUUACAAACUGCCACCGACUACGCGAGCAAUGUUCGCUGGUGGACGUCCGUGUUUUUUGCUGUGACUAAAGAAGUGCGACCAAGGCAGUCCAUCGACAUGAAUUAGAAAGCAUGGGAUAACGAAGCAGCAGCCUAUGAGCUACCGUUUAGGCCUUUGUUGGUUUUAAAGGUUCGUGGGAGAUUACGGGCGUGUAGGACCGGCGUUGGGGGUUUUCCAAAAUCCCCGCGUCUCCUCCUGGCAUCGGAAACGGUGCUUGCGGGGCCUGCUUCGCUCAGGAAUGAAGGAGGGUUGCUCGGGGGAAAACGUACUUGGGCGUGAGAGGUGAAAUUCUUAGACCGCCCAAAGACGAACUACAGCGAAGGCAUUUUCCAAGGAUACCUUCCUCAAUCAAGAACCAAAGUGUGG
RNAcentral lists this ribosomal RNA (516 nucleotides) under uncultured marine eukaryote. RNAcentral describes it as "SSU rRNA". It matches the Rfam family "Eukaryotic small subunit ribosomal RNA", at positions 628 to 994 of the family's 1831-position model. The record is from RNAcentral.